UUAACUUUACCUACACUUUAAACUUUCUUGCAUCCAAACCAAAUCUUACCCAAUCACUUUUCUUAAGGGGGGUGUCUUUUAUUAAGUGAAGGAGGAAACGGUGUAGAGUUGUGUGAAUGUGAAAUAAGGUGAUGAGUUUCGGACAUGUCAUGCUAGCUACUUUCACAUAAAGAUUGCUUGGUGCAUCUUUUAAUGACUAAG
This 201-nucleotide long non-coding RNA is filed under the name Phaseolus vulgaris (common bean). RNAcentral's name for it is "long non-coding RNA (PVUL_LNC003816)". Lineage: Eukaryota; Viridiplantae; Streptophyta; Magnoliopsida; Fabales; Fabaceae. The record is from RNAcentral.